GGAACCUGUGAAUAGAUGUGCGUUUAACUCUAAUGCACAUGUUGGUAUGCUUUAUAGUCAUAACUGGCCCUGCCUGGGACUUAAAUAUUUGAAGAAUACUAGAGUUGGGAGACUUCAGAUCUAAGGUUGUUUGCUAUAGACUCAAAGUGAAUGCAGCAAAGGAAGCAUGGAGCAAUUGCCUAUCAUCUAUAAGAGAGACAGCAGUUGCUGCUUGGAAAAGAGGAAGAGAGGAUCAAAUAAGAUCUACAGAUGUGCAUCUUACUUAUAUAUACCUGAAGUGUCUUACAUGCAUACUAUCAGCAAUCAAGAUGAACAAUUUAUUGCCCAAAUGGCUUGUUUUGCCACACUGAAUAAAAAGUCCAUAUGGAGAUUCUUUUGUGCCCAUCAUCUUCUCUUAAGUAAGUUGCUGCUGCCAGGAGCUGAUGUGUCUCAUUAUCAUGAAAAGCCUUAGGUUAUUAUAAAAAUUCAAAUGCCAUAUUCUAUAGGUCUUUAAGUGUUUGAAGAUCACAUAUCUCUUUAAGAUGUAUCCUUGCAUGACCUUGAAACCAUACUUAAAAUGACUAUAAGUUUUUUUAGAUGACUAACUACUAACUUGUAUUUCUUUAUUGUCCUAAAUAGUUUGUAAUAGUAACUUUCAAGGAAUAAAAAUUUAUGUUGUUAAAUGAGCUGCAUAGGUA
Arvicola amphibius (Eurasian water vole) is the source of this 677-nucleotide long non-coding RNA. RefSeq lists it as uncharacterized. The record is from RefSeq and is a predicted model, not a curated record. NCBI's taxonomy places the organism in Eukaryota, Metazoa, Chordata, Mammalia, Rodentia, Cricetidae. The transcript has 3 exons.